RNAcentral lists this ribosomal RNA (2193 nucleotides) under human gut metagenome. Its description in RNAcentral is "bacterial LSU rRNA". It matches the Rfam family "Bacterial large subunit ribosomal RNA", at positions 3 to 2285 of the family's 2925-position model. The record is from RNAcentral.
UUAAGCUAAUAAGAGCGCAGGGAGGAUGCCUUGGCAUCAGGAGCCGAUGAAGGACGCGGUAAGCUGCGAAAAGCUCCGGGGAGUGGCAAGCACACAUUGAUCCGGAGAUGUCCGAAUGGAGCAAUCCACAUGAGUGAAGCUCAUGUAUCAUAUACUGAAUAAAUAGGUAUAUGAGGGGAACCGUCUGAACUGAAACAUCUAAGUAGGACGAGGAAAAGAAAUCAACCGAGAUUCCGCUAGUAGUGGCGAGCGAACGCGGAAGAGGCUAAACCAGAGUCAGCAAUGACUUUGGGGUUUGGACUGCAUUUAGUAUCAAUGAGGUCUAGUCGAAGUACAUGGGAAGGUACAUCGAAGAGGGUGAGAAUCCCGUAGACGAAAGAUCAAGUUGGCGAGCAGUAUCCAGAGUACCGCCGGACACGUGAAACCCGGUGGGAACACGGGGGGACCAUCCUCCAAGCCUAAAUACUACCUGAUGACCGAUAGCGCAUAGUACUGUGAAGGAAAGGUGAAAAGAACCCCGGGAGGGGAGUGAAAGAGAGCCUGAAACCCUGUGCUUACAAGCACACAGAGCACGUCAAAGUGUGAUGUGGUACCUAUUGUAGAAUGGUCCGGCGAGUUAUUUUAUGCAGCGAGGUUAAGGACUUAAGGUCUGUAGCCGAAGUGAAAGCGAGUGUUAAUAGCACGAAACAGUUGCAUGCAAUAGACCCGAAACCGGGUGACCUAUCCAUGUCCAGGCUGAAGUGAGGGUAAAACCUCAUGGAGGGCCGAACCGACUCCCGUUGAAAUGGUAGCGGAUGAGGUGUGGAUAGCGGAGAAAUUCCAAUCGAACCCGGAUAUAGCUGGUUCUCCCCGAAACCGUUUUAGGACGGGCCUCGUGUGAAGAUUAUCGGAGGUAAAGCACUGAAUAGCCUAGGGGGCGAGAGCCUACCGAAGCUUAUCAAACUCUGAAUGCCGAAUAAUCGUUUCACGGGAGUCAGACUGUGUGAGAUAAGUUUCAUAGUCAAAAGGGAAACAGCCCAGACCCACAGCUAAGGUCCCAAAGUGUAUUUAAGUGGAAAACGAUGUGAAGUUGCGUAGACAACCAGGAUGUUGGCUUAGAAGCAGCCACUCAUUAAAAGAGUGCGUAAUAGCUCACUGGUCGAGUGACUUUGCGCGGAAAAUUUAACGGGGCUAAAAUACACACCGAAGCUUGGGCUUGACGCUUUUGCGUCAGGGGUAGGGGAGCGUCGUGUAAGGGGCGAAGUCGUAUCGUAAGGGACGGUGGACUUUACACGAGUGAGAAUGCCGGAAUGAGUAGCGAGAAUUAUGUGAGAAUCAUAAUGGUCGAAAGCCUAAGGUUUUUGGAGGAAGGUUCGUCCGCUCCAAGUAAGCCGGGAGCUAAGGUCAGGCGGAAACGCGUAGCCGAUGCACAUACGGUUGAAAUUCCGUAGCCUCAGAAAGAUUUAAGCGAAGGGACACUUUGAAAGGACUGUUGCCGGGUGUUGGUUACCCCGGUCGUAAGGGAACGAAAUUAAGUAGUGAAGGCAGUCUGGACGGAGGCGAGAAAAGCUUCGUGUAUAUCUUAUGAGCCCGUACCGCAAACCGACACAGGUAGGUGGGAUGAGAAUUCUAAGACCAACGGGAGAAGGGUAGUUAAGGAACUCGGCAAAUUGUCCCCGUAACUUCGGAAUAAGGGGAGCCUGCGAAAGCAGGCCGCAGAGAAUUGGCCCAGGCGACUGUUUAUCAAAAACACAGCUCUAUGCUAAAUCGAAAGAUGACGUAUAUGGGGUGACACCUGCCCGGUGCUGGAAGGUUAAGAGGAGAUGUGAGAGCAUCGAAUUGAAGCCCCAGUAAACGGCGGCCGUAACUAUAACGGUCCUAAGGUAGCGAAAUUCCUUGUCAGGUAAGUUCUGACCCGCACGAAUGGUGUAACGAUCUGGGCACUGUCUCGACUACCCGCCCGGCGAAAUUGUAGUACCGGUGAAGAUGCCGGUUACCCGCGACUAGACGGAAAGACCCCAUGGAGCUUUACUGUAGCUUAAUAUUGGAUUUCGGCAGUUCAUGUACAGGAUAGGUGGGAGACUAUGAAACACGGGCGUCAGCUUGUGCGGAGUCGUCCUUGGGAUACCACUCUUGGAUUGCUGGAAUUCUAACCUGCGGCCCUGAAUCGGGUCGGGGGACAUUGUUAGGUGGGCAGUUUGACUGGGGCGGUCG